UGUAAGGGAUGUUAACUGAAAUUUUGAUCUCGCUUCCGCAUUUGAUAUAUUUAAAUACUUAUUUCAUUUUAAUAUUUCCGGGGCCGUUACAGUUGGUAUCAGAGCCGCGUUUCCUCGGACCCAUCCCUUACACUAUAGUCCUUUAAAGAAAUACUCACCGAUUGGUCGUUACUCAACCAUUCCUUGUAAAUGCAAGUACACAGAAAUGAGGAGAGGAAGGCCCCCACUAAACCGAGCGGCCCAAGAUAAUUCGCUUCGGGAGGAUUUGGACAGAUUAUAUGAGAUGGUGGAAGCUCUCGUAGCUGCCCAGCGAAGGCAAGAGGAGAGAAGGGAGUUACCCGGACCUCCUCCGCUAGCGCAGGUUGAGCCCCCGUUACAGCAGGCUGAUCCCGAGCCACCCCGG
This 403-nucleotide long non-coding RNA is filed under the name Carica papaya (papaya). RNAcentral describes it as "long non-coding RNA (CPAP_LNC010493)". Lineage: Eukaryota; Viridiplantae; Streptophyta; Magnoliopsida; Brassicales; Caricaceae. The record is from RNAcentral.